CAGCUGUAGUUCAUCGGUAGAAUGCUAGCUUCCCAAGCUGGAGAGACGGGUUCGAUUCCCGCCAGCUG
Molecule: transfer RNA, 68 nt
Filed under: bovine gut metagenome
Rfam family: tRNA
About the family: Transfer RNA (tRNA) molecules are approximately 80 nucleotides in length. Their secondary structure includes four short double-helical elements and three loops (D, anti-codon, and T loops). Further hydrogen bonds mediate the characteristic L-shaped molecular structure. tRNAs have two regions of fundamental functional importance: the anti-codon, which is responsible for specific mRNA codon recognition, and the 3' end, to which the tRNAs corresponding amino acid is attached (by aminoacyl-tRNA synthetases). tRNAs cope with the degeneracy of the genetic code in two manners: having more than one tRNA (with a specific anti-codon) for a particular amino acid; and 'wobble' base-pairing, i.e. permitting non-standard base-pairing at the 3rd anti-codon position.
Source: RNAcentral